Molecule: transfer RNA, 84 nt
Filed under: archaeon
Lineage: Archaea
Description: tRNA-Leu
Rfam family: tRNA
About the family: Transfer RNA (tRNA) molecules are approximately 80 nucleotides in length. Their secondary structure includes four short double-helical elements and three loops (D, anti-codon, and T loops).
Source: RNAcentral
GCACGGGUUGGGGAGCGGCCAAACCCGCCAGACUCAAAAUCUGGUCGCUUAGUGCGUUCGCAGGUUCAAAUCCUGCCCCGUGCA